AGAGUUUGAUCAUGGCUCAGGACGAACGCUGGCGGCACGCCUAACACAUGCAAGUCGAACGGAGAUAAAGACUUCGGUUUUUAUCUUAGUGGCGGACGGGUGAGUAACACGUGAGCAACCUGCCUCUGAGAGAGGGAUAGCUUCUGGAAACGGAUGGUAAUACCUCAUAAUAUAGCGGUACCGCAUGAUACUGCUAUCAAAGAUUUAUCGCUCAGAGAUGGGCUCGCGUCUGAUUAGCUAGAUGGUGAGGUAACGGCUCACCAUGGCGACGAUCAGUAGCCGGACUGAGAGGUUGAACGGCCACAUUGGGACUGAGACACGGCCCAGACUCCUACGGGAGGCAGCAGUGGGGAAUAUUGCACAAUGGGCGCAAGCCUGAUGCAGCGAUGCCGCGUGGAGGAAGAAGGUUUUCGGAUUGUAAACUCCUGUCUUAAGGGACGAUAAUGACGGUACCUUAGGAGGAAGCUCCGGCUAACUACGUGCCAGCAGCCGCGGUAAUACGUAGGGAGUGAGCGUUGUCCGGAAAUUACUGGGUGUAAAGGGAGCGUA
This 549-nucleotide ribosomal RNA is filed under the name uncultured bacterium. RNAcentral describes it as "bacterial SSU rRNA". It matches the Rfam family "Bacterial small subunit ribosomal RNA", at positions 8 to 573 of the family's 1533-position model. The record is from RNAcentral.